GCAAUUCUUACAGACUUUGCACCCAAACACCUAAAGAACACCUAAAUUAAGCCUUGGCAAAGCUUAAAGUUUUGUAAGUCACUAGUUAAAUGGAAGGAUUUCAUCACAGGAAGAUCAGGAUUGUGACUUGUCAAAUGUCACAGAGCAAAUCUUCGGCAGAGCAGGAAAUGGAAUCGUCCCUGGGAGCUCACUUCUACUGCACACAGAUUGCUCCCUGCCAGAGUCACCAUGCCAGAGGCUCUACAGCAGUUUAAACACAUCAGUAACCCAGUGAGGAGCACUAUGGUCCAGGUUUACACUAAAUCUUCUGAAUGGAAGAUUUAUACACACAAGACACAAUGCCUGUGCAAAUUAAUUACAAUAAACAAGAAUACCCAGGUGACCCCCACCAGCCCUUCCUGCACAGCUGGUGCAGCGCAUGCUGUGAAGGGAAUUGACCUGCUAUUCCUGAAGUGUAAGCUAUUCAGUUAAGGUUCGGAUCUUAAAAGCAAGUGGAUAAUAAAUCUCAAGUUAAACCUCA
Molecule: long non-coding RNA, 520 nt
Organism: Phasianus colchicus (ring-necked pheasant)
Lineage: Eukaryota; Metazoa; Chordata; Aves; Galliformes; Phasianidae
Source: Ensembl